RNAcentral lists this ribosomal RNA (309 nucleotides) under Triticum aestivum (bread wheat). RNAcentral describes it as "partial small subunit ribosomal RNA". Lineage: Eukaryota; Viridiplantae; Streptophyta; Magnoliopsida; Poales; Poaceae. The record is from RNAcentral.
AUGCUGUUAGAAAGUGCAAUUUUUUUGCGUGACAAAUCAACAUUGUACACCAUUCUCAGCUGCUCUAGAAAGCGUGUAGCUACCUCCCUAGCACUGUACACUGAUCGGACCUCCAUGAAGAACAAGAGAGAAUCCAGAUAUAUAUUCUUCACCGCUUUGCACAUGGCAAGGUUGAAUCUGGCUGUUUCCAUGAUCAUCAUGGAGACCAUGUCUUACUUUCCUCAAAGGAACAUCCACCUGGUAACCAUGCCUCCUUUCUUCAAGUGCACGGUGAGUUGGGUUGAGACAGAAUCAUUGCAUGCCAAUUGA